Molecule: ribosomal RNA, 253 nt
Filed under: uncultured bacterium
Lineage: Bacteria
Description: partial 16S ribosomal RNA
Rfam family: Bacterial small subunit ribosomal RNA
Source: RNAcentral
GACAGAGGGUGCAAACGUUGUUCGGAAUUACUGGGCAUAAAGCGCGUGUAGGCGGCUCGGCAAGUCGGGUGUGAAAGCCCUGGGCUUAACCUAGGAAGUGCACUCGAAACUGCCAAGCUUGAGUUCUGGAGAGGAAGGCGGAAUUCUCGGUGUAGAGGUGAAAUUCGUAGAUAUCGAGAGGAACACCGGUGGCGAAGGCGGCCUUCUGGACAGCAACUGACGCUGAGACGCGAAAGCGUGGGGAGCAAACAGG